Long non-coding RNA from Gasterosteus aculeatus aculeatus (three-spined stickleback), 1009 nucleotides. The record is from Ensembl. NCBI's taxonomy places the organism in Eukaryota, Metazoa, Chordata, Actinopteri, Perciformes, Gasterosteidae.
GGAAUACUAACAGGCGGUGGGGGGGGGGUCUGAUAUGCAAAAGCGUUGCCAGGUAGACUCAGUUUGAGAAGAAUGUUUCCUUGACUUCCCCCUACGUGUGUGUUUUCAUCCACGCUGAGCGAUUUGGUCCUGCAGCUCCAGUGGAAUGCACCUAUCUGUGUCCAUCAAGGGGAGUUCUGCUUUCCGUGCCACAAGCCGGCGGGCUGAACUUGUUCUCGAGGGUUCACAAUCCUCUGGUGGACCACUGGAUCCGUUUUAGUCAAAUGACUUCAGAGCUGUGAAGUUUGGUAUCAGAUUGGUGUCGACUGAACAAGCGAUGUGUGGGACAACAAGUCAGAAAGCCUUUUCAAGAUGAUCUAAAACUAUGCACGGAGCAGAGGAAGCCCAAACAACUGACUGACUUUAUGGUGUUUGGACUCCUGAAUGAAAACACACUUCAGGAAAUCCGUCACAGGCUUCUCGCUGAGAGAGCAGACCCCCUUCCCCCCCCUCCUGCUGCCCUCUCGCCUGGGACGCCGGGGUAAUUACAUCAUUUGGAGAGGAAUGAAGGAGGAGGAAUGAAAGCACUUUACAAGCGAAAGUACGCGAAAUGCUUUAUUGCUCAUGGAAUUGGCAAUUAAAAAGCAGCACCUGGAACGCACAGGCUCAGCUGAAAAGGGCCCUAUCCCACACCGUGGCACGCUUGGAACCAGUCACCCCCACCCCCUCACCCCCCUCCCACCACCGCGCCACAGAAGCCCCUGGAGAAUGUUUUUCUUUCCAGCUUUUUUAUUCUUUAUUUUGUGAAAAGUUGCUGACAAUGCACCUUCACGUUGGUUGACUUAGCCCAUAAGUCACCGGAGCCUGACGUGCUCUCCAACGUAUUAAUAAAGCCCAUUUCCUACGGAACAUAUGGCGAGGCUAGAACAUCAACCUGCUCGGGCCACGCUACCGAAAAAGAAAACAGUCAUGAAUCUCUCCAGCACCCAGUGUACGUGCCCCUCAUCCAACACACACACACACACACACA